AAAAUGUUGUCUCUCUUGAGUGGAUCCUGAGUACGACGGAGCACGUGAAAUUCCGUCGGAAUCUGGGAGGACCAUCUCCUAAGGCUAAAUACUCUCUAGUGACCGAUAGUGAACCAGUACCGUGAGGGAAAGGUGAAAAGCACCCCGGAAGGGGAGUGAAAUAGAACCUGAAACCGUGUGCUUACAAGUAGUCAGAGCCCGUUAAUGGGUGAUGGCGUGCCUUUUGUAGAAUGAACCGGCGAGUUACGAUUUGAUGCAAGGUUAAGCAGUAAAUGUGGAGCCGUAGCGAAAGCGAGUCUGAAUAGGGCGUUUAGUAUUUGGUCGUAGACCCGAAACCAGGUGAUCUACCCUUGGUCAGGUUGAAGUUCAGGUAACACUGAAUGGAGGACCGAACCGACUUACGUUGAAAAGUGAGCGGAUGAACUGAGGGUAGCGGAGAAAUUCCAAUCGAACCUGGAGAUAGCUGGUUCUCUCCGAAAUAGCUUUAGGGCUAGCCUCAAGUGAUGAUUAUUGGAGGUAGAGCACUGUUUGGACGAGGGGCCCCUCUCGGGUUACCGAAUUCAGACAAACUCCGAAUGCCAAUUAAUUUAACUUGGGAGUCAGAACAUGGGUGAUAAGGUCCGUGUUCGAAAGGGAAACAGCCCAGACCACCAGCUAAGGUCCCAAAAUAUAUGUUAAGUGGAAAAGGAUGUGGCGUUGCCCAGACAACUAGGAUGUUGGCUUAGAAGCAGCCAUCAUUUAAAGAGUGCGUAAUAGCUCACUAGUCGAGUGACACUGCGCCGAAAAUGUACCGGGGCUAAACAUGUUACCGAAGCUGUGGAUUGUCCUUUGGACAAUGGUAGGAGAGCGUUCUAAGGGCGUUGAAGCAUGAUCGUAAGGACAUGUGGAGCGCUUAGAAGUGAGAAUGCCGGUGUGAGUAGCGAAAGACGGGUGAGAAUCCCGUCCACCGAUUGACUAAGGUUUCCAGAGGAAGGCUCGUCCGCUCUGGGUUAGUCGGGUCCUAAGCUGAGGCCGACAGGCGUAGGCGAUGGAUAACAGGUUGAUAUUCCUGUACCACCUAUAAUCGUUUUAAUCGAUGGGGGGACGCAGUAGGAUAGGCGAAGCGUGCGAUUGGAUUGCACGUCUAAGCAGUAAGGCUGGGUAUUAGGCAAAUCCGGUACUCGUUAAGGCUGAGCUGUGAUGGGGAGAAGACAUUGUGUCUUCGAGUCGUUGAUUUCACACUGCCGAGAAAAGCCUCUAGAUAGAAAAUAGGUGCCCGUACCGCAAACCGACACAGGUAGUCAAGAUGAGAAUUCUAAGGUGAGCGAGCGAACUCUCGUUAAGGAACUCGGCAAAAUGACCCCGUAACUUCGGGAGAAGGGGUGCUCUUUAGGGUUAACGCCCAGAAGAGCCGCAGUGAAUAGGCCCAAGCGACUGUUUAUCAAAAACACAGGUCUCUGCUAAACCGUAAGGUGAUGUAUAGGGGCUGACGCCUGCCCGGUGCUGGAAGGUUAAGAGGAGUGGUUAGCUUCUGCGAAGCUACGAAUCGAAGCCCCAGUAAACGGCGGCCGUAACUAUAACGGUCCUAAGGUAGCGAAAUUCCUUGUCGGGUAAGUUCCGACCCGCACGAAAGGCGUAACGAUUUGGGCACUGUCUCAACGAGAGACUCGGUGAAAUCAUAGUACCUGUGAAGAUGCAGGUUACCCGCGACAGGACGGAAAGACCCCGUGGAGCUUUACUGUAGCCUGAUAUUGAAAUUCGGCACAGCUUGUACAGGAUAGGUAGGAGCCUUUGAAACGUGAGCGCUAGCUUACGUGGAGGCGCUGGUGGGAUACUACCCUAGCUGUGUUGGCUUUCUAACCCGCACCACUUAUCGUGGUGGGAGACAGUGUCAGGCGGGCAGUUUGACUGGGGCGGUCGCCUCCUAAAAGGUAACGGAGGCGCUCAAAGGUUCCCUCAGAAUGGUUGGAAAUCAUUCAUAGAGUGUAAAGGCAUAAGGGAGCUUGACUGCGAGACCUACAAGUCGAGCAGGGUCGAAAGACGGACUUAGUGAUCCGGUGGUUCCGCAUGGAAGGGCCAUCGCUCAACGGAUAAAAGCUACCCCGGGGAUAACAGGCUUAUCUCCCCCAAGAGUUCACAUCGACGGGGAGGUUUGGCACCUCGAUGUCGGCUCAUCGCAUCCUGGGGCUGUAGUCGGUCCCAAGGGUUGGGCUGUUCGCCCAUUAAAGCGGUACGCGAGCUGGGUUCAGAACGUCGUGAGACAGUUCGGUCCCUAUC
RNAcentral lists this ribosomal RNA (2256 nucleotides) under Staphylococcus aureus. RNAcentral describes it as "partial 23S ribosomal RNA". It matches the Rfam family "Bacterial large subunit ribosomal RNA", at positions 382 to 2642 of the family's 2925-position model. Lineage: Bacteria; Bacillati; Bacillota; Bacilli; Caryophanales; Staphylococcaceae. The record is from RNAcentral.